RNAcentral lists this ribosomal RNA (1239 nucleotides) under metagenome. Its description in RNAcentral is "bacterial LSU rRNA". It matches the Rfam family "Bacterial large subunit ribosomal RNA", at positions 1564 to 2810 of the family's 2925-position model. The record is from RNAcentral.
UGAGUACGAGAUGCUACGGCAUCGAAGCAGUCUAUGUCAUACUUCCAAGAAAAGCUUGCAAUGUCAUAAACAAAUAAUGCCUGUACCAUAACCGACACAGGUGGGUAGGUAGAGUAUACUAAGGGGCGCGAGAUAACUCUCUCUAAGGAACUCGGCAAAAUGACUCCGUAACUUCGGGAGAAGGAGUGCCUUAUUUUUAUAAGGUUGCAAUAACAAGAUCCAAGCAACUGUUUACCAAAAACACAGGUCUCCGCUAAGUCGUAAGACGAUGUAUGGGGGCUGACGCCUGCCCAGUGCCAGAAGGUUAAAGAAGUUGGUUAGCAUUAGCGAAGCUGAUAACUGAAGCCCUGGUGAACGGCGGCCGUAACGAUAACGGUCCUAAGGUAGCGAAAUUCCUUGUCGGGUAAGUUCCGACCCGCACGAAAGGCGUAAUGAUUUGGAUACUGUCUCGGAGAGGGGCUCGGUGAAAUAGACUUGUCUGUGAAGAUGCGGACUACCUGCACCUGGACAGAAAGACCCUAUGAAGCUUUACUGUAACUUGAGAUUGAAAUUGGACUUUAUCUGCGCAGUAUAGGUGGGAGACGUUGAAAAUAUUCUUGCGGGAAUAUUGGAGUCAUCAGUGAGAUACCACUCUUAUAAUGUUAGAUUUCUAACUUUGUAUCAUUAUCUGGUCAAAGAACAGUUUCAGGCGGGCAGUUUGACUGGGGCGGUCGCCUCCCAAACGGUAACGGAGGCGCACAAAGGUUUCCUCUGAACGUGUAGAAAUCGUAUCUAGAGUGUAAAGGCAUAAGGAAGCUUGACUGUGAGACCUACAAGUCGAGCAGGGACGAAAGUCGGUCUUAGUGAUCUGACGGUGCUGAGUGGAAAGGCCGUCACUCAACGGAUAAAAGUUACUCUAAGGAUAACAGGCUGAUCUCCCCCAAGAGUUCACAUCGACGGGGAGGUUUGGCACCUCGAUGUCGGCUCAUCGCAUCCUGGGGCGGUAGUACGUCCCAAGGGUUGGGCUGUUCGCCCAUGAAAGCGGUACGCGAGCUGGGUUCAGAACGUCGUGAGACAGUUCGGUCCAUAUCCGGUGUAGGCGUUAGAAUAUUGAGAGGAGCCUUCUUUAGUACGAGAGGACCGAGAAGGACAUACCUCUGGUGUACCAGUUAUCGUGCCAACGGUAAACGCUGGGUAGCCAUGUAUGGAGAGGAUAACCGCUGAAAGCAUCUAAGUGGGAAGCCCACCUCAAGAUAAGUA